RNAcentral lists this ribosomal RNA (620 nucleotides) under Anabaena sp. 189. Its description in RNAcentral is "bacterial SSU rRNA". It matches the Rfam family "Bacterial small subunit ribosomal RNA", at positions 34 to 699 of the family's 1533-position model. Lineage: Bacteria; Bacillati; Cyanobacteriota; Cyanophyceae; Nostocales; Nostocaceae. The record is from RNAcentral.
CAAUGGCGCAGGCUUAAACAUGCAGUCGAACGGAAUCUUCGGAUUUAGUCGCGCGGACGGGUGAGUAACGCGUGAGAAUCUGGCUUCAGGUCGGGGACAACAGUUGGAAACGACUGCUAAUACCGGAUGUGCCGAGAGGUAAAAGAUUAAUUGCCUGAAGAUGAGCUCGCGUCUGAUUAGCUAGUUGGUGUGGUAAGAGCGCACCAAGGCGACGAUCAGUAGCUGGUCUGAGAGGAUGAUCAGCCACACUGGGACUGAGACACGGCCCAGACUCCUACGGGAGGCAGCAGUGGGGAAUUUUCCGCAAUGGGCGAAAGCCUGACGGAGCAAUACCGCGUGAGGGAGGAAGGCUCUUGGGUUGUAAACCUCUUUUCUCAAGGAAUAAAAAAAUGAAGGUACUUGAGGAAUAAGCAUCGGCUAACUCCGUGCCAGCAGCCGCGGUAAUACGGAGGAUGCAAGCGUUAUCCGGAAUGAUUGGGCGUAAAGGGUCCGCAGGUGGCAGUGAAAGUCUGCUGUCAAAGAAUGAGGCUCAACCUCAUCAAGGCAGUGGAAACUACACAGCUAGAGUACGGUCGGGGUAGAAGGAAUUCCUGGUGUAGCGGUGAAAUGCGUAGAAAAUA